RNAcentral lists this ribosomal RNA (450 nucleotides) under uncultured bacterium. Its description in RNAcentral is "partial 16S ribosomal RNA". It matches the Rfam family "Bacterial small subunit ribosomal RNA", at positions 354 to 796 of the family's 1533-position model. The record is from RNAcentral.
GUGGGGAAUAUUGGACAAUGGGCGAAAGCCUGAUCCAGCCAUGCCGCGUGUGUGAAGAAGGUCUUCGGAUUGUAAAGCACUUUAAGUUGGGAGGAAGGGCAGUAAGUUAAUACCUUGCUGUUUUUACGUUACCGACAGAAUAAGCACCGGCUAACUUCGUGCCAGCAGCCGCGGUAAUACGAAGGGUGCAAGCGUUAAUCGGAAUUACUGGGCGUAAAGCGCGCGUAGGUGGUUUUGUAAGUUGGAGGUGAAAUCCCCGGGCUCAACCUGGGAACUGCCUUCAAAACUGCAUGACUAGAGUACGGUAGAGGGUAGUGGAAUUUCCUGUGUAGCGGUGAAAUGCGUAGAUAUAGGAAGGAACACCAGUGGCGAAGGCGACUACCUGGACUGAUACUGACACUGAGGUGCGAAAGCGUGGGGAGCAAACAGGAUUAGAUACCCGUGUAGUCC